This 72-nucleotide transfer RNA is filed under the name Oscillospiraceae bacterium Marseille-Q3528. It matches the Rfam family "tRNA". Rfam says of the family: Transfer RNA (tRNA) molecules are approximately 80 nucleotides in length. Their secondary structure includes four short double-helical elements and three loops (D, anti-codon, and T loops). The record is from Rfam by way of RNAcentral. Lineage: Bacteria; Bacillati; Bacillota; Clostridia; Eubacteriales; Oscillospiraceae.
UGGAACAUAGCUCAGAGGCAGAGCUUUCGGCUUAUAUCCGAAGAGUCCCGGGUUCGAUUCCCGGUGUUCCAA